This 434-nucleotide ribosomal RNA is filed under the name uncultured bacterium. Its description in RNAcentral is "bacterial SSU rRNA". It matches the Rfam family "Bacterial small subunit ribosomal RNA", at positions 28 to 509 of the family's 1533-position model. The record is from RNAcentral.
GAUGAACGCUAGCGGCAUGCCUAACACAUGCAAGUCGAACGAGACCUUCGGGUCUAGUGGCGCACGGGUGCGUAACGCGUGGGAAUCUGCCCUUGGGUUCGGAAUAACAGCGAGAAAUUGCUGCUAAUACCGGAUGAUGACGUAAGUCCAAAGAUUUAUCGCCCAAGGAUGAGCCCGCGUAGGAUUAGCUAGUUGGUGAGGUAAAGGCUCACCAAGGCGACGAUCCUUAGCUGGUCUGAGAGGAUGAUCAGCCACACUGGGACUGAGACACGGCCCAGACUCCUACGGGAGGCAGCAGUGGGGAAUAUUGGACAAUGGGCGAAAGCCUGAUCCAGCAAUGCCGCGUGAGUGAUGAAGGCCUUAGGUUGUAAAGCUCUUUACCCGGGAUGAUAAUGACAGUACCGGGAGAAUAAGCUACCGGCUAACUCCGUGCC